GUGAGGAAUAUUGGUCAAUGGGCGGGAGCCUGAACCAGCCAAGUCGCGUGAAGGAAGAAGGAUCUAUGGUUCGUAAACUUCUUUUGCAGGGGAAUAAAGUGCGGGACGUGUCCUGUUUUGUAUGUACCCUGAGAAUAAGGAUCGGCUAACUCCGUGCCAGCAGCCGCGGUAAUACGGAGGAUCCGAGCGUUAUCCGGAGUUAUUGGGUUUAAAGGGUGCGUAGGUGGUUUGAUAAGUCAGCGGUGAAAGUUUGCAGCUUAACUGUAAAAAUGCCGUUGAAACUGUCGGACUUGAGUGUAAAUGAGGUAGGCGGAAUGCGUGGUGUAGCGGUGAAAUGCAUAGAUAUCACGCAGAACUCCGAUUGCGAAGGCAGCUUACUAAGCUACAACUGACACUGAAGCACGAAAGCGUGGGGAUCAAACAAGAUUAGAUACCCUUGUAGUCC
Molecule: ribosomal RNA, 445 nt
Filed under: uncultured bacterium
Lineage: Bacteria
Description: partial 16S ribosomal RNA
Rfam family: Bacterial small subunit ribosomal RNA
Source: RNAcentral